CAGCCGCCGCGGUAAUACGAAAGGUGCAAGCGUUAAUCGGAAUUACUGGGCGUAAAGCGUGCGUAGGUGGUGGUUUAAGUCCGUUGUGAAAGCCCUGGGCUCAACCUGGGAAUUGCAGUGGAUACUGGAUCACUAGAGUGUGGUAGAGGAUUGUGGAAUUUCCGGUGUAGCAGUGAAAUGCGUAGAGAUCGGAAGGAACAUCUGUGGCGAAGGCGACUAUCUGGGCCAACACUGACACUGAGGCACGAAAGCGUGGGGAGCAAACAGGAUUAGAUACCCGUGUAGUCCCUGUCUCUUAUAC
RNAcentral lists this ribosomal RNA (301 nucleotides) under uncultured bacterium. Its description in RNAcentral is "partial 16S ribosomal RNA". It matches the Rfam family "Bacterial small subunit ribosomal RNA", at positions 509 to 807 of the family's 1533-position model. The record is from RNAcentral.